Molecule: long non-coding RNA, 12541 nt
Filed under: Triticum aestivum (bread wheat)
Lineage: Eukaryota; Viridiplantae; Streptophyta; Magnoliopsida; Poales; Poaceae
Source: RNAcentral
GAAUAAAGGUAAAUAUUUCUUACCGGAGAGACCUAGGCAUCUGAAAUGUAUUUUUACAGUCAGCAGUUCCUGGGAGUAGCUUAACGCUUCUCAUCUUCAAAACAUGCUUAGCACAGAACAUCAGAAUACUAACUAAAGUGCACUAGCGGAGGCAACUAGAUUUUAGAUGAAAACAACCCGCUUAACACUUCACAGAAAAAAAAUUAGCACUACUGUUGAGAGGCGCAUAACUGAAAGUAACCAGGAUAUCACUGGUGGCAAAUUGGGUUUACAUGCAAUGGUUGCUGAAAUUUAAAAACUGCAAGCAUUUAAUCUAGAGCAACCUAGCUUUCUGUAACAUUAUGAAGAGAGAGAUCACAGCUUAGUUGGAGUUUCAAGAGUGAACAUAAUAGAGGGCAAAAGUAGUGCACCAACCAUCUCACAAUUAUUAAACAGACUAUUUUAUAUCUGGGUUGUGUUGCACUCCUUGGUCACGCCUUCUUGUUGCAUGAAUCCAUAAACGCCGAGAUGAGGUAUUCCCAGAGGCAAGUAGGCAAGUACUUUGCCACAAACUUGGAUGCUGAUAAAUAUGUAAUGUGUGACAGAUAUCCAAACAUUCCAGAUCAGAGUUACACUUUCUUCAUCACAAAAAGGGGGAAACUCAUAUGACCCUCAGGAGUCAGGCUUGUUAUUUCAAUCAAACAUCAGGCAACAACAAUUUUCUGCAUUUUCCAAAAAGGAAGGUGGGGGGCAAUGCCAUUGUAUCAGCUAUGAGUGAAUACCAACUUGUUUUUCAGUAGGAAGUUCCAAGUAAUAAUGCAUCAAUUGUCAGUCCAACAUCUCAGGAGGCUGGUACUUUACCGGAAGCAAUUUUACAUGCUCCCUUAAUUUCCCUUUCCUUGAGAAGAGAGAUAGUAUUAACGAAACCGUCGAAGCUUCAACUGACAGCUGUUUUGCAUCAAGUUUAGCGAGAUAAGUUGCAGCCUUUACAACUGCACCAUUCUCCAGCAACACUCUGACCACGUGAUUUAGCAGUCUCGAGUCAGGAGCACAGCCAGCCUUCUCCAUUGCUAAAAACAUAUCAUCAGCCUCUGCCAGCAACCCUUCUUCUAUGAAAUUCGUCAUCAUUACACUGUAAGUCACAACAGAAGGCACCAAUCUGAUGGCUGAUAUAGUAGCAAACAAAUCCUUGGCUUCUUCAAUUCUCCUAGUUUUAAACAUUACAGAAAUCAUGGUAUUGAGUGUUAUGACAUCAAUCUUCACGUUCAUUGCACGUAGUUUCUUGAACAGCUCUAUUGCUUCACCAGUGCAAUUAUUUUUACAAAGUCCAUGAAGAACUAUGUUGUAUGUGUCAACGCCCACUGGUAUGCCACUUUCAGUCAUCGUACGGAAUUUUUCCUUUGCAGAAACUGCUCUCCCGGAGCGAAACAGCCCAUCAAAUAUAAUGUUGUACAUAAAAGUCGUGGGUUUAACUCCGCCUAUGUUGUCUCAACAUAGCCGGUCCCAAGCCCGGGUAAAGGAGGAGGGUUGUGAUAGGCUUAACUCAGCCACUCUUAUGGAGAUGAAACCCAAAAGAUUUUCGUUGGGGCGUAACCCUCUCAGCGACGCGCCACAUCGGAACCCGGGUGUGGUGGAAAAUGGGCAAGGGCCGGGCCGUCACCCCCCAAGUGGCGCGCCGUAUCUUGAUCCGGAUACGGUGGCAAGUGAGCGAGGAUCGGGUCGUCGCAUCCUUAGUGGCGCGCUACAUCGGCGCCCGGAUGUAGUGGAAAAUGAGCAAGGGUCUUCGCAUUUGACUCGACGAGUGCGAAGGGUAAGGAAGCUAGCCGAGCCUAGGAGGAUUCGCUUAGGUAGCUGGAACGUAGGGUCUCUGACAGGGAAGCUUCGGGAGCUAGUUGAUGCAGCAGUGAGGAGAGGUGUUGAUAUCCUUUGUGUCCAAGAAACCAAAUGGAGAGGACAGAAGGCGAAGGAGGUGGAGGAUACCGGCUUCAAGCUGUGGUACACGGGGACGGCUGCAAACAGAAAUGGCGUAGGCAUCUUGAUCAACAAGAGCCUCAAGUAUGGAGUGGUAGACGUCAGGAGACGUGGGGACCGGAUUAUCCUGGUCAAGCUGGUAGCUGAGGACUUGGUUCUCAAUGUUAUCAGCGCAUAUGCCCCGCAAGUAGGCCACAAUGAGAACACCAAGAGGGAGUUCUGGGAAGGCUUGGAAGACAUGGUUAGGAGUGUACCAAUUGGUGAGAAGCUCUUCAUAGAAGGAGACCUCAAUGGCCACGUGGGUACAUCUAACACAGGUUUUGAAGGGGCGCAUGGGGGCUUUGGCUAUGGCAUCAGGAAUCAAGAAGGAGAAGAUGUCUUAAGCUUUGCUCUAGCCUACAACAUGAUUGUAGCUAACACCCUCUUUAGAAAGAGAGAAUCACAUCUGGUGACUUUUAGUAGUGGCCAACACUCUAGCCAGAUUGAUUUCAUCCUCUCGAGAAGAGAAGAUAGGCGUGCGUGCCUAGACUGUAAGGUGAUACCUGGGGAGAGUGUUGUACCCCAGCAUAAGCUGGUGGUUGCUGACUUCCGCUUUCGGAUUCGUGUCCAGCGGGAUAAGCGUGCCAAGGUCGCUAGAACGAAGUGGUGGAAGCUCAAGGGGGAGGUAGCUCAGGUGUUCAAGGAGAGGGUAUUUAAGGAGGGCCCUUGGGAGGAAGGAGGGGAUGCGGACAAUGUGUGGAUGAAGAUGGCGACUUGCAUUCGUAAGGUGGCCUCGGAGGAGUUUGGAGUGUCCAGGGGAAGGAGAAGCGGAGAUAAGGAUACCUGGUGGUGGAAUGAUGAUGUCCAGAAGGCCUUAAAGAGAAGAAAGAUUGCUUCAGACGCCUAUACCUGGAUAGGAGUGCAGACAACAUAGAGAAGUACAAGAUGGCGAAGAAGGCCGCAAAGCGAGCUGUUGGUGAAGCAAGGGGUCGGGCAUAUGAGGACCUCUACCAACGGUUAGGCACGAAGGAAGGUGAAAGGGACAUCUAUAAGAUGGCUAAGAUCCGGGAGAGGAAGACGAGGGAUAUUGGCCAAGUCAAAUGCAUCAAGGACGGAGCAGGCCAACUCUUGGUGAAGGACGAAGAGAUUAAGCAUAGAUGGCAGGAGUACUUCGACAAGCUGUUCAAUGGGGAGAAUGAGAGUUCUACCAUUGAACUGAAUGACUCCUUUGAUGAGACCAGCAUGCGUUUUGUGCGGCGCAUCCAGGAGUCUGAGGUGAAGGAGGCUUUAAAAAGGAUGAAAGGAGGCAAGGCGAUGGGCCCUGAUUGUAUCCCCAUUGAGGUGUGGAAAGGUCUCGGGGACAUAGCGAUAGUAUGGCUAACCAAGCUUUUCAACCUCAUUUUUCGGGCAAACAAGAUGCCAGAAGAAUGGAGACGGAGUAUAUUAGUACCAAUCUUCAAGAACAAGGGGGAUGUUCAGAGUUGUACUAAUUACCGUGGAAUUAAGCUGAUGAGCCAUAUAAUGAAGCUAUGGGAGAGAGUCAUUGAGCACCGCUUAAGAAGAAUGACAAGCGUGACCAAAAAUCAGUUUGGUUUCAUGCCUGGGAGGUCGACCAUGGAAGCCAUUUUCUUGGUACGACAACUUAUGGAGAGAUAUAGGGAGCAUAAGAAGGACUUGCAUAUGGUGUUCAUUGACUUGGAGAAGGCCUAUGAUAAGAUACCGCGGAAUGUCAUGUGGUGGGCCUUGGAGAAACACAAAGUCCCAGCAAAGUACAUUACCCUCAUCAAGGACAUGUACAAUAAUGUUGUGACAAGUGUUCGAACAAGUGAUGUCGACACCGAUGACUUCCCGAUUAAGAUAGGACUGCAUCAGGGGUCAGCUUUGAGCCCUUAUCUUUUUGCAUUGGUGAUGGAUGAGGUCACAAGGGGUAUACAAGGAGAUAUCCCAUGGUGUAUGCUCUUUGCGGAUGAUGUGGUGCUAGUUGACGAUAGUCGGACGGGGGUAAAUAGGAAGUUAGAGUUAUGGAGACAAACCUUGGAAUCGAAAGGGUUUAGGCUUAGUAGAACUAAAACCGAGUACAUGAUGUGCGGUUUCAGUACUACUAGCUGUGAGGAGGAGGAGGCUAGCCUUGAUGGCCAGGUGGUACCUCGGAAGGACACCUUUCGGUAUUUGGGGUCAAUGUUGCAGGAGGAUGGGGGUAUUGAUGAAGAUGUGAACCAUCGAAUCAAAGCCGGAUGGAUGAAGUGGCGCCAAGCUUCUGGCAUUCUCUGUGACAAGAGAGUGCCACAAAAGGUAAAAGGCAAGUUCUACAGGACGGCGGUUCGACCCGCAAUGUUGUAUGGCGCGGAGUGUUGGCCGACUAAAAGGCGACAUGUUCAACAGUUAGGUGUGGCGGAGAUGCGUAUGUUGAGAUGGAUGUGUGGCCACACGAGGAAGGAUCGAGUCCGGAAUGAUGAUAUACGAGAUAGAGUUGGGGUAGCACCAAUUGAGGAGAAGCUUGUCCAACAUCGUUUGAGAUGGUUUGGGCAUAUUCAGCGCAGGCCUCCAGAAGCUCCAGUGCAUAGCGGACGGCUAAAGCGUGCGGAGAAUGUCAAGAGAGGGCGGGGUCGACCGAUUUUGACAUGGGAGGAGUCCGUUAAGAGAGACCUGAAGGAUUGGAGUAUCGACAAAGAGCUAGCUAUGGACAGGGGUGCGUGGAAGCUUGCUAUCCAUGUGCCAGAGCCAUGAGUUGGUUGCGAGAUCUUAUGGGUUUCACCUCUAGCCUACCCCAACUUGUUUGGGACUAAAGGCUUUGUUGUUGUUGUUGUUGUUGAUAAAAGUCGUGGGUUUAACCCCGCUGAGUGACAUUUCCCUGAAAAGACUCAAUCCAUCGGCGAUCCUGCCAAUUUUACAGUAGCCAUUAAGAAGUAUAGCAUACGUAACAGCAGUAGGUUGGAGGCCAGCAGACUUCAUAGCAUCAAGUACUCUUAGUGCUUCCUCCACCUUGCCAACAAGGCAAUAUCCAUCCAUCAGUGAAUUGUACAUAAUCACAUCAGGCCGCCGACCAAUACCUAGAAUGAAGUCAAACAUAUCCUGUGCCUCGUUUACCUUUCCUUCUUUGCAUAGGUCGUUUAUUACAGGAUAGAAGAACACACUGUUAGAAAACAGACCUCUAUUAAUUGCUUCAGAGAUCAAAUCCUUGGCUUUCACAAAAUGACCAUGAGAGCAAGAACCCAGAACCAGGCAUUGGUAAACAGCUUUGUUAGGUGAAACUCCUUGAUUGACCAUCUGAUUAAAUUUGUCCACAGCAGCAUCCAUCCUACCCAUUUUACAAAGUGAAUCCAUUAUUACUAGAUAGUCAACUACAUCUGGGUUUACUCCUUGUUGCCUCAUUACUUCGAACAUGUGCAUAGCCUCAUCCAUCAGUCCACGUUUAGCAUAUGCAUUGAUCAGUAUGUUGAAAAUAUGGUGGUUUGGUACAACACCAUUCCGUACCAUCGAAUUGAAGAGAUCAGUCAUAUCCUCGAAGGAUCCUUCUUUGACAUACCCAUUAAGCAUAGUAGAGUAGGAGACGAUAUUAGGUUUCAGGCCCUUUGCAGCCAUAGAGUCAAAAAUUUCUCUAGCUUCCUUUGUCCUUCUGUGCUUGCAAAGGGAAUCGAUUAAUGAGGUCAACGUGACAACGUCUGGUACAACACCAAGACUUGCCAUUUCUUUGAAUACCCUAAGUGCCUCCUUCCACUGACCAAAAGUAGAAUAUCCAUGGAUCAGACAGUUAUAUGUCUUGAUAUUGGGUUCAAUUCCUUGAUCAACCAUUUGCCGAAGGACCACUUCUGCCUUGUCCAUUGCUCCGGAUUUGCUUAGUGCGUCGAUAACUGAGUUGUAGAUCACCACAUUAGGUUGAACUCCCAGUUGGGGCAUCUGAUGGAAGAGAUUGCACGCUUUGUCUACUUCACCUUGUUUAAAACAGCCGUUGAUUACUAUGCUGUACGAGAAGACAUCAGGCACACAGUCCAGUUCGGGCAUCCGGUGGAGCAGCAUGUCCAAAGCCUCAUUUGAACGCUUGGCCUGGCAGAGCCCCUUGAGGAGAUUGCUGGAGGAGAUGAUAUCCAAGCGCAGCCCCAACCUGAGGAGGCGACCGAAGAAGGCAAGCACCAAGUCCGGGCGGCCUACGCGGCAGCAGCAGUCCAUGAGGAUGGAAUAGGUACAGAGCGUGGGCGACGCCACCCGUGCACCAGCGCCUCGGGACAUGCGGUUGAAGAGGGCGAUGGCAAGGCCGGGGCCAUCGCGGCAGGCAGCUGAGGGUGGAGCACGGGCGAGUGCGGCAAGAAAGUUGUUGAGCCCGCGUUCCGGGACGGCGGCGGCUUGGCCAAGCAAUUGGUCGAACAGGUGGUGCGCGUCCUCCUGGCUCAGCGUUCCCGCGCGGACACGCUCCGUGGCGGCAGCCAAGGCGGCGAGGGGGGCUCGUGAAGGAGCCCUGAAGGAGGAGGUGGAGAUGGAGGACAGGCGGGCGGCUGGCAUUUCUGGCCGAUUCCAGCCGAGCUCGACGCGGGAUGUGCGUGCGUCCGCUGAAGAGGCGCACCGCGAUCGAUUGGUGUCACCUGCGACGCUCGGCGCGCGCGCAGCAACCAGCGCCGCUGCCGAGGAAGUGAACGCAGGAGGCGGGACCGGUGGACUUGCCCGCCGGUGAGCGGCCUCGUACGCGGCUGACGAGUCUGGCGGCGGCGGGGGCGUGUGCUUGGGGUACAAUGGCACUUGAUGAUUUUCUGAUGAGUCUUUCCGAGUAAUGCUCACACCCAUCAGGUGAGCUGCACUCUUAUCAAUGCUAUUUCUUGAUCCCCAGGGCGCCCCGAAGAUCGGAUCAGAGGGAUGCAUCACAUUUUCUUCUCGGGUGAGUUGCAACCCGGCAAAUUUCUGCCACCAUGUAGCGACUAGCGCCCGUGCCGCAGGGGCGUCAAUUCCAUGCACUUGCAAAAAAAAAAAGUCCACGAAUUUAACAAAAAGUUGACGAUUUGAAAAAAGUUUGCAAAAUUGAAUUUUUUUCCAUCGAUUUGAAUUUUUUUAUGAAUUUGACGAAAAAGUUCAUGAAUUUGAUAAAAGUUUGCGAAAUUGAUAAACAUUCAUUCAUUUGGAAAAAAAUCAUGGAUUCAAAAAAUAGGUUCACGGAUUUGAAAAUAAGUCAUAAUUUUAAGGAAAUGAUCACGAAUUUAAGCAAAUGACAAUAAUAGAGAAAAGGAAGAAGAAAUAAAGAAAAUUAAAAAGGAAUAAAACUGGGGAAAAAAAGGCCAACCAAAAUCAAAGAAGAAGAAAACUGGACUCAGAAGAUGCACAACAAGAAGAAUAAAAGAAGUAACUAGGUACAAUGGUUGGAGGUAAACUAAUAGGUUGAAUCCUAUGUCAUGCACAUAUCAUUUGAAGGUUAAAAAAAGAAAAGAAAAAAUGUGCCAAGCGAGAACAUAGGUUUGGGUGCCCGGCGGACGGAUAGGCUAUGUACCUCUACACGUAGCUCGUAUGUAUGUGCGUAUGUGUCACAUACGGAGAUGGUCAAGUUCUCUUUGAAUUGCAUGAUUGAGGGAUGGAUCCGGACAAUCACAAGCCUACCCUUUUAAUAUAGAAAAGAGAGUAUAAUCUCGAUCCCUACAUGUUGUAGGAUCCUAUUGUGGGCCUCCUUUUCUGUGUUAUUUGCCGUCUAGUAAUGCACUAUUUCAGUAUAAUGUUGUUUGAUUCUUUUUUUAGGGAGAAACUUUUGAUCUAGUUGUAAUCAAUCAUGGUAGUACAAAGAACAACAAAGAUAAAUAAAUUUCGAGGCCAAUGGAUGAAAUUUGGUCUUCUAAAUCUAAAUAAACAUAUGCAUUUUAUUACUUUUAUUUGUUUACCGAGUGUCUUGUAAAAAAAAACUUGGCAAAGACCUAUUUUCCCGAGUGUUACAAAACACUUGGCAAAGUCCCUACAUUUGCCGAGUGAGUACUUGCAAAGUUUCUAUUGCCGAGUACCCUUGUUUUGCCAAGUGUUUUGUAUGAGAUACUCAGCAAAAGCCAUGUUUCUCAAGAACCUCGUGAAAAAUCACUCGGCAAAGAGCCCGACACUCUGCAUAUAACAUUUCCCCGUAGUGUAUAGAUUAAAUGAUUUCACAUGGGUGACAAUCUAUAGAAAGAAAUGAUACUUUUUAAAAUAAAAUAAAAUUAGUUAUGCUCAUUGAAUCUUGGCCAGAAUUAGUUGACUCGGCCGAUCAACUAGUCUCCUCCUGAUUGUAAAUAUGUGUUGGGACUUGGGAGUUUGGGACAAACGAUGAUGAUGAAAGCUUGAAGCUUCCCAAAUUCGAGUUCAUAUUGCCCUGCUCCAGAAAAAAACGUUCACAGUGCGCCCCAAACCAGUAUGUCCACUUCGGAUUCUUUUGGAAGAUCAUUGCUUCGAGUUGGUUCUUGUCCCGAUAGCACACACACAUGAUUUUGUUUUCUUUCUUCGAAUUAUAUGCUUCCGGUUUCAUUCAAAUGAAACCGUCCAGAGAACCUCAUGCCCGGCACAGAUUAUUACAGCAUCCUUAAACGUCUAGUAGAGGAAAAAAGACUGUAUUUUCUGGAAAGCGGCGAUUCGGUGCUCGAGCCCAGCUGAGCCCGAAAUCGCUGGCAUUCGUUCUUCGUUUGGGAUUCGAGUAAUCCGGUCUGACAACUUGACAGGAAGCGCUGGAAAAAAGGACGUACGCCUGUAUACUGUACUCCCUCCAUUCCAAAAUAUAGUGCGUCCGUGUUUUCCAAGGUCCAACUUUGACCAUAAAUUUAACCAACGAGACCAACUGCGACAGCAGAAAAAAUUAUAUAAUUGAAAACUUCUUUCGAAUACGAAUUCAUUGAUAUAAUUUUUACUCCCACCGUAAUCGGUUUUGGUAGUUAAACUUAUGGUCAAAGUUAAAGCACGAGGAUAGAGGAAACACUACAUUGUGGAAUGGAGGGAUUAUGGAAUAGUGCGUUCCGUCAGGCGCGGGGUCCUGGUCCGUGGACUAGAACGCCUCGUUUUAUGCUGAGCCGCUGAAUGUCGAACUAAAAAAAAAGGUUUCUAUAAACCACGUCGGCCGUCGCCAACACAGCCCACUCCCAUCCCCGCACCGCCCAAGGAGCCUCCCAAAAUCCGGUUUUCAGCUGCGGCGGCCGCUGCUUCCCGCCGGCGACGAACUAAUGGUGGAUGCUGGUCUUUGUUUUUGCUGGAUGCCAUGACAGGUAAGUGCAUCAUUCCUCGAUUUAGGUCUAGUGGUUGCAGAGAUUUGUUUCUAAACUGGGGGCUGACACCACGACCGGCGGUGCGUUAUAGGUUCCCACUCCGGGAGGAGUUCGCCGACAGCCUAGAACACCCAGAUCCGGUCCCUCUCGCUGUGCUGCGGACGGGAGAAGCCAGCGCUAUUGUGCUGGAGGAGUCAAACGCGGGAUCUAGAUAAGGGCAACAAGUUGGGUGUCGCCGGCCGGAGGAGUCGCAGGGUGGCAUGCGCCGGUGGCGUGAGGCAUGCUCGGUCUUCCCAGUCGUCCGACAGGUUCAACCCCAAGGCGCCCGAUUGGACAAAAAGGUAUGCGCUGGAUGCAUACCCAAUUUCUCUGCAUUUUGUUGUAGAUGGCUGGAUGUUAGACUGUUGUAGUAUGGUCUAUAUCUUCGUAUUGUAGUUUUCCUUCUCCCUAGAGAGAUUUAAAUCAAGUUCACUGCCCAUGGGAACUUGUUCCUGCAGAAGUGCAGAUAACUUGUUAGUUCUCCUAGUCCGGCAAUUACUUUGAACAGUCAUACUUUGCAGUUGAACCUAAUGAAAAGUAAUGGUUUGCUUGAAAAAUUCAGGUUGCGUCUCGGCAGUGCACCACCCGACAGGAUGCCGUGCCCCUCUAGGAUGAGUGCACAAGAGAAGUCGAUUCGCAAAUACUCGGAGGAGCCAACACAAAGUGUUAUUACACCAGAACUAGGAAUUAGUUUCGACUCACUUGGCGAUGGAUAUGAUUUCUACACCUUGUAUUCGUGCGAGAUCGGCUUGGGAGUUAGGUAUGGAAAGAACAGGCUGAAUGCCGAGAGGACCAAAUCAGCGCGGGAGAUCGUUUGCGGAUGUUGAUUGUGUACUAAGAAAAUGGACUUCAAAUUUGUUACCUGCAGAUCAGCUGAUUUGCAAGUUUCAUGCUAUACUGAGAAGCAACUAUAUGUAACAUGCAUGUAUAUCUGUUUGUUAGAUAGUUGUUGAUUGGAAAGAAUCCACUGGAAUAGAGCAUUUCCUUUUCGCGUCCUACAGUCUCUUUGAGAUAAUUGCAUCACCGAAGAUGUAUUUAGUGGUUUUCUCAUGUAAUGCGCUGCAGCAACAUAUCUCUGAUGCUCGCUGUCAGUGUACUGAAACCUUCAUCUGAGUUUGAGGUUAUCUAAGUGUAUAGAAACUGAAAGUUACAUGUUUAAUUUCCAUUAUAUGUGGGUUUCUUCAUAUUUCUGUUAACUGUAGAUGCUCUAGAGUCUGCAUAUGAAAUCAUGGAUAAUUUGUUGUUGUGCACUGUUAUGUCAGCAACUCCGCCUAUGUCUUCUAGGCAUAGCCGGUCCCAAGCCCGGGUAAAGGAGGAGGGUUGUGAUAGGCUUGGCGAGCCAACGUAAAAACUAGCCAGUCCCAUAGGUAUGAAACCGAUUUGAGCGAGAGUAGUACUAGGAUGGGUGACCUCCUGGGAAGUCCUUGUGAAAGAGUUUCAUAUCUAAGGGUUGUGAUAGGCUUGGCGAGCCAACGUAAAAACUAGCCAGUCUUUUGGGUAUGAAACCCAUUUGGGCGAGAGUAGUACUAGGAUGGGUGACCUCCUGGGAAGUCCUCGUGAAAGGGUUUCAUAUCUAGCCUACCCCAACUUGUUUGGGAUCAAAGGCUUCGUAAGAAUGAGAGAGGCACUGUUAUGUCAGCGGUACUUCCAUUUUUGACAUUUCAAAAUAUUUUGCAGGAGGAUGUGCUCCAUGCAAGAGGAAGGACAAACGGGGUAGUAGAAAUUCAUCUUAGGUAAUAGGCUUACCUGAGGUUUGCAUAUUUCUUCUCCUCUCUACUUGUUACGGAAUAGCAGACUGAAGUUAACUUCGUGCGUACUGAAAAAAAUGCUUAAUUGCUCUUUGAGGCAGGACAUUCAAUUGAACAUACAACUGUUCAUAAAUUUGGGGCUGACAUUUUACAUUGAUUAAUUUGCAGGGGAAGCAAGCAGAGAACAGUAGAUAGUGCCUGCCGUUCUGGAAUCAGCCUGGCACAGAAUAAUGCCUGAGCCGUUCUCCAGUUAGUUGUUCCGUCUCUCCCUUAUGCUGUGGCCGCAUUUAAUGCACCCACAGGCAGGCUUCAUUUUCCGUCCAUACAUCUGCUAUACAGAGUAAAAUACAGCACUGCUUCACGCAUCCCCAUGCAAGUGAAUGGUGGUGAUUUCAGGAUCAGCUGAGCCUGGGCUCAUAAACGAAUAUCCGGUAUUUUCUGCAAUGUCUCUUUCCUUUGGAAGAGAGAGGUCAGCAACUGCAAACUCAAUGACUGAAGCUUCAAAUAGUACUGAAUUCUUCUCAUCAAUUUUAGAAAGAUAGCCUCCGGCCCUGAUUACUUCACCUUUCUCCAAUAACACCCUGUCCACAUGUUUUUUUGCAACUGAGAGUUGAGAGCGCAGCUAGUCUUCUCCAUUGUUGAGAAGAUAUUGUCUACCCCUUCCAGGUCACAAGACUAAGAAAAUAAUCAACUCCUGCGAUCUCCACAACAGAAAGCCAAAAAAAGAAUGCAGUAUUUAUUUGGUUUCAGAGACAAGCAUUGUGUUUCAACCAAAGGAGCUACUUUUAAGCGUACUGGUAUUGACUGGCUGACUGAUCAUGACCAUACAGAAUAUGUGUAAUGCGUGCAUCCAUUGGAGGCAUCCAAAUUGCACAACUUUUUAUCUAAAGAAAUUCUUCAAGGUAAUCGCACAACACCCUAGAAUGUACCAUGACAAAUGUUUGAGAUGAGAAUUCCAAUGGCAGUAAAGCGCUGAUCCUUCACGCUCUGUUCAUGAUAAGUCCGUCAGUCAAUACAAUAAGAAUAAAGGUAAAUAUUGCUUAGCGGAGAGACCUAUGCACUGCAAUGUAUUUUUACAGUCAAUGUUUGUCAUCUUCGAAACAUGCUUAGCACAUAACAUCAGAUUACUAACUAAAGUGCACUAGCGGAGGCAACUAGAUUUUAGAUGAAAACAACCCACUUAACGCUUCACAGAAAAAAUUAGCACUACUGUUGAGAGAGGCAUAAUUGAAAGUAACCAGGAAAUUUAAAAAAUGCAAGCAUUUAAUCUAGAGCAACCUAGCUUUCAGUAACAUUAUGAAGAGAGAGAUCACAGCUUAGUUGGGGUUUUAAGAGUGAACAUAAUAGUAACUAUCAACAACAGAGGGCAAAAGCAGUGCAUCAACCAUCUCACAAUUAUUAAACAGACUAUUUUAUAUCUGGUUUGUGUUGCACUCCUUGGUCACGCCUUCUUGUUGCAUGAAUCCAUAAACGCCGAGAUGAGUUGUUCCCAGAGGCAACUAACCAAGUACUUUGCCACAAACUUGGAUGCUGAUAAAUAUGUAAUGUGUGACAGAUAUCCAAACAUUCCAGAUUAGAGUUACACUUUCUUCAUCACAAAAAGGGGGAAACUCAUAUGACCCUCAGGAGUCAGGC